CUCAUGCCAAGGGACCAACAAUUGGAUGAUUAGAGCUUUGGCCACUGCCUCCUCUAGGAUAAGGGUAACGAAGAGCGACUCCACAAAACAUGUUCCAUCUAGUUCAAUCCCACUCGCAUCUGCCAUAGCCUAUGUAAGAAGAGUGCAAAUAUUCAAAAGUUAAGUAUACAAUUGUCCAAAUCAUAUGAAUAGUUUGAGAGUUACAAAACGUAUCUGGUCUCCAGGUGCAGGUAUAUGUAUGGGGGUGUUAAAAUGGUACAUGUGCAUCCCUGAUCUGUAUUUAAUAGAUAUUUCAUCAAAUUUAGGUAUAAUUCAUGUUUUAUCUCCUACAACUACCAAAUAACGCAUGGACAUACAAUAGGCUAAGUUUUGCUAUAAUAACUAGAAUGAAAUGCUAUGUUGGACUAUGUUAUAAGAGAAUUGGCUAAGAUUAGUGUACCAAAGCUGGUGCGCUGGAAAAAGGAUCCAUUAUGGAUGUGGUGGCGGUCGAAACCCUAUGAAUGUUACGUUCAUGCCCUAUUGCUGGAAUGGCGCCUAUUAAACAAAUGUGUUAGUAUUGUAGAGGUUGUUUCCAAAUCUAUGAAUUUAGAUUUUGCAUAAGUAAUACUUUACUCAAAACAUCAGUUGUAUGCAAGCCAAGAAGUAAUCCAUUGGUUGUCUCAGCUCCUCACCAUCUCCAACUCGUGCUCGGUCAUCCGAUGAGAGCCUGAGCUAUGGGACGAUGAAUCCGUCCUCUAAGCUCUCACCUCAGACGAGUCAAUCAUUUCGUUGAAGAGUGUGGACCUAAAAGUGUUUCAAAAAGUGUGCUUAGGGCAUGAUCAUGUUAGUAGCACUCAUGGAAUUUGAUAACUUAGAGCUAACCAUCCAUGUGCUUUCCGCCACCACUAGCAUGCACGACUAAGGCAUCAAACAGUUCAUGCCGCCAAUCGAAGUCUGGGUCAUGACGUCAAGCCAUAUCCUCCUAAUAUCUCGCCUAUACAACAUUUAUAAAUUUAGAUUUGCUGAAAUUGCAAUAGUUGAAGAUUUACAUUCACCCAAAACUCACUAGCUGAUCCAUGGCCAUCUGGCUACACAACUACCCAGGGUUACUAGGGUCUGGUCCUUUGUCUCCCUGUAUGAACACAUUGAUGUUGCUAGGCUUUUGACCGGUCCUAGCUUCAUGUAUGGAGAAAAUAAUUUCAUAUAUUAGACAAAUAAAAAAAUACACUCACCAAUCUAUAAGUGACCUAAUUAAUGUCUUGUCAGCCUCUUGUUCUUUUUGCAACAGGCGGCAUUACUACGUGGCUCUUCCUACAGUGACGUGUGCGUGCCAUAGUAGAGUCUCUGAAAUCCCUAUUUUCAGCCUCAUCAUCUUGGUCAGGGGCCUCCAUGUGUGGCAUCUCCUACCACUAGUCCCAUGCCUAGUGCUACACCUCUUGGUGCUACACCUGUUGCCACUGGUCCCACACCUGGUGCUACACGACCAAGUUCCAUGCCUAGUGAUGCACCUCCUGGUGCUGUGCUACAUCUUCUCAUAGUGAUGCUCCUCCUAGUGCAUGCAAUUAAAUAUGUAGAUAUAUGUUAACAAUAGAUUCAUUAGUAAGAUAUACGUUAUAAAAAUAAUUAAAUUGUUACCUCAUCUCUCUGGGUAGCGCUCAACGACUCUCGACGCCUGCUGGAGCUCGAAGAAAUGUCCUGAAAUAGGGUCUACCUGGGUCCCUUGAACAACCCAUUCAUUGUCAGCUUCUUCGUCUUUGGUAGCAUCCUAUAUCAAAAUAAGAUAGGUUUCAAUAGUACAAU
Molecule: long non-coding RNA, 1779 nt
Filed under: Zea mays
Lineage: Eukaryota; Viridiplantae; Streptophyta; Magnoliopsida; Poales; Poaceae
Description: long non-coding RNA (ZMAY_LNC003302)
Source: RNAcentral